UUGGGAGAUGUAUAGUCCUCUUAUGAGGCUAGUUAUCUUUACAAAGUAUAAUGCCCUCCUAAGGUUAGAAAGUAAAGAUAAUACCAACUACGUUGGCUAAAGUUCUAGAUAGAAGACUGAUAAUGACAAUUUUUUAUCUACAUGUCUUGACCAAAUUACGUGCCAGCUGUCGCGGUAAUACGUAGAAGACUAGUGUUAUUCAUCUUUAAUAGGUUUAAAGGGUACCUAGACGGCAUUAUUAACCUUAAAUAGGGAAAUGUUUUUUGCUAGAGUUUUAUAUGAGAAGGGGAGAAUUUAUAGAGUAGAGAUAAAAUGCUGUCAUACUAUAAGGACUGGCAAUGGCGAAAGCGACCUUUUAUCUAAAAACUGACGUUGAGGGACGGAGGCUUGGAGAGCGAACAGGAUUAGAUACCCUAGUAGUCCAUGCAGAGAAUGAUGAAUGCCAUAGACUAGAUAUUAAUUUGGUUUAUAAAUGAAAGUGUAAGCAUUCCACCUCACGAGUAAUGUGGCAACGCAGGAACUGAAAUCAUUAGACCGUUUCUGAGAACAGUAGUGAAGUAUGUUAUUUAAUUCGAUAACCCACGAAAAACCUUACCACAACUUGAAUAAUAUCAUUCGUUGAUUAAGGAGCCUAGAUUUCUUAAAAAGAAAUGUUGAAAUACAUUUAAUAAAUGUAGCAAUACAUUUAUUACAGUGAUGUUACAUGCGUUGCACGGUUGUCUUUAGCUAAUGUCGUGAGAUUUUGGUUAGUUCCAUAAAAUUAGCGUAAACCCCGGCUUUAUUUUUAAAUUAAAAAUUAUAAUUAAGAUUAAUUAUAAUUAUUGUGAUAAAGCAGUUCAUCACUAUAUUGAAUAUAUGAUAA
Molecule: ribosomal RNA, 862 nt
Filed under: Coccomyces libocedri
Lineage: Eukaryota; Fungi; Ascomycota; Leotiomycetes; Rhytismatales; Rhytismataceae
Description: mitochondrial SSU rRNA
Rfam family: Bacterial small subunit ribosomal RNA
Source: RNAcentral